RNAcentral lists this long non-coding RNA (223 nucleotides) under Gossypium raimondii (Peruvian cotton). RNAcentral's name for it is "long non-coding RNA (GRAI_LNC008883)". Lineage: Eukaryota; Viridiplantae; Streptophyta; Magnoliopsida; Malvales; Malvaceae. The record is from RNAcentral.
AUAAAUCAUAUCCAUGUAUUUCAAGUAUUUACUCAUAAUAUUUCGUCUUGAAUUUAUGUUAUCUCAUAUAAGAACUUUACCCGUUGAACCAUUUAAAAUAUCGAUGGAUAGUCGGGUAGUACACACAAAGUGUACAAAUCUGUAUUCCGUCAAUUCAUGUAUUAUCCAUCAAUUCAUAUUUAGGAAUUCUUAUACGAGCACAUAAACAGGAAGCUCAUUCGAG